GAUCUUAUAGUUUAAAGAAAAUAUUAAAUUGCAAAUUUAAAGUUAAAGUGUUUUAAGAUUU
RNAcentral lists this transfer RNA (61 nucleotides) under Mitjaevia bifurcata. RNAcentral's name for it is "tRNA-Cys". The record is from RNAcentral. Lineage: Eukaryota; Metazoa; Arthropoda; Insecta; Hemiptera; Cicadellidae.